UAAUACUGGAUAGGCAAUUUUUCCUGUAAUGGUUUUUUGUUUAAAUGUUUUUUCGCCUAAGGAUGGGUCUGCGGCCGAUUAGGUAGUUGGUUAGGUAAUGGCUUACCAAGCCGUUGAUCGGUACGGGUUGUGAGAGCAAGAGCCCGGAGAUGGAACCUGAGACAAGGUUCCAGGCCCUACGGGGUGCAGCAGGCGCGAAACCUCCGCAAUGUGAGAAAUCGCGACGGGGGGAUCCCAAGUGCCAUUCUUAACGGGAUGGCUUUUCAUUAGUGUAAAGAGCUUUUGGAAUAAGGGCUGGGCAAGACCGGUGCCAGCCGCCGCGGUAACACCGGCAGCUCUAGUGGUAGCAGUUUUUAUUGGGCCUAAAGCGUCCGUAGCCGGUUUAAUAAGUCUCUGGUGAAAUCCUGUAGCUUAACUGUGGGAAUUGCUGGAGAUACUAUUAGACUUGAGACCGGGAGAGGUUAGAGGUACUCCCAGGGUAGAGGUGAAAUUCUGUAAUCCUGGGAGGACCGCCUGUUGCGAAGGCGUCUAACUGGAACGGUUCUGACGGUGAGGGACGAAAGUUAGGGGCGCGAACCGGAUUAGAUACCCGGGUAGUCCUAACUGUAAACGAUGCGGACUUGGUGUUG
Molecule: ribosomal RNA, 629 nt
Filed under: uncultured archaeon
Lineage: Archaea
Description: bacterial SSU rRNA
Rfam family: Archaeal small subunit ribosomal RNA
Source: RNAcentral